GGCUCAGGAUGAACGCUGGCGGCGUGCCUAAUACAUGCAAGUCGAGCGAACAGAUGAGAAGCUUGCUUCUCUGAUGUUAGCGGCGGACGGGUGAGUAACACGUGGGUAACCUACCUAUAAGACUGGGAUAACUCCGGGAAACCGGGGCUAAUACCGGAUAAUAUUUUGAACCGCAUGGUUCAAUAGUGAAAGACGGUUUCGGCUGUCACUUAUAGAUGGACCCGCGCCGUAUUAGCUAGUUGGUAAGGUAACGGCUUACCAAGGCGACGAUACGUAGCCGACCUGAGAGGGUGAUCGGCCACACUGGAACUGAGACACGGUCCAGACUCCUACGGGAGGCAGCAGUAGGGAAUCUUCCGCAAUGGGCGAAAGCCUGACGGAGCAACGCCGCGUGAGUGAUGAAGGUCUUCGGAUCGUAAAACUCUGUUGUUAGGGAAGAACAAAUUUG
Molecule: ribosomal RNA, 448 nt
Filed under: Mammaliicoccus sp.
Lineage: Bacteria; Bacillati; Bacillota; Bacilli; Caryophanales; Staphylococcaceae
Description: bacterial SSU rRNA
Rfam family: Bacterial small subunit ribosomal RNA
Source: RNAcentral